UUUCCGGUUGAUCCCGCCGGACCUGACUGCUAUCGGAUUGAUACUAAGCCAUGCUAGUCUUUGUAGUAAUACAAGGCAUACGGCUCAGUAACGCGUAGUCAACCUACCCUAUGGACGGGGAUAAUCUCGGGAAACUGAGCAUAAUACCCGACAGACCACUUCUCCUGGAAUGGUUAGUGGCUAAAAUGAUUCGUCGCCAUAGGAUGGGACUGCGGCCUAUCAGCUUGUUGGUGAGGUAAUGGCCCACCAAGGCGAUUACAGGUACGGGCUCUGAGAGGAGAGGCCCGGAGAUGGGUACUGAGACAAGGACCCAGGCCCUAUGGGGCGCAGCAGGCGAGAAAACUUUGCAAUGUGCGAAAGCACGACAAGGUUAAUCCGAGUGAUUUCUGCUAAAGGAAUCUUUUGUUAGUUCUAAAAAUACUAGUGAAUAAGGGGUGGGCAAGUUCUGGUGUCAGCCGCCGCGGUAAAACCAGCACCCCAAGUGGUCAGGAGGAUUAUUGGGCCUAAAGCAUCCGUAGCCUGUUCUAUAAGUUUGCGGUUAAAUCUAUACGCUCAACGUAUAGGCUGUCGUAAAUACUGUAGAACUAGGGAGUGGGAGAGGUAGACGGUACUCGAUAGGAAGGGGUAAAAUCCUUUGAUCUAUUGAUGACCAC
This 653-nucleotide ribosomal RNA is filed under the name uncultured archaeon. RNAcentral's name for it is "bacterial SSU rRNA". It matches the Rfam family "Archaeal small subunit ribosomal RNA", at positions 1 to 660 of the family's 1478-position model. The record is from RNAcentral.